AGUGAACGCUGGCGGUAGGCCUAACACAUGCAAGUCGAACGGCAGCACAGUAAGAGCUUGCUCUUACGGGUGGCGAGUGGCGGACGGGUGAGGAAUACAUCGGAAUCUACUUUUUCGUGGGGGAUAACGUAGGGAAACUUACGCUAAUACCGCAUACGACCUACGGGUGAAAGCAGGGGAUCUUCGGACCUUGCGCGAUUGAAUGAGCCGAUGUCGGAUUAGCUAGUUGGCGGAGUAAAGGCCCACCAAGGCGACGAUCCGUAGCUGGUCUGAGAGGAUGAUCAGCUACACUGGAACUGAGACACGGUCCAGACUCCUACGGGAGGCAGCAGUGGGGAAUAUUGGACAAUGGGCGCAAGCCUGAUCCAGCCAUACCGCGUGGGUGAAGAAGGCCUUCGGGUUGUAAAGCCCUUUUGUUGGGAAAGAAAAGCAGCAGGUUAAUACCCCGCUGUUCUGACGGUACCCAAAGAAUAAGCACCGGCUAACUUCGUG
RNAcentral lists this ribosomal RNA (492 nucleotides) under uncultured bacterium. RNAcentral's name for it is "partial 16S ribosomal RNA". It matches the Rfam family "Bacterial small subunit ribosomal RNA", at positions 29 to 507 of the family's 1533-position model. The record is from RNAcentral.